AUUUUUUGGAUUAUAAUAAGCAUCUAAGGAAGAAAUGUCAAAAUCCGUGAGAAUAACAGCCUUAAAUUCUGGUAAUGACGGGCAUUGCUUUGCCCAAAAAUCGAGCUGCUGCUUCUACUUCUCUUAUUCUGUGAAUGGAUUUUGGCCUCUCUCUCUCUCGGCGGCAGUAUAUUUUAUUGCUUGCUCACGGUUUCGGUGGCGUUUGUCCGUGCC
Molecule: unclassified non-coding RNA, 213 nt
Filed under: Hevea brasiliensis (rubber tree)
Lineage: Eukaryota; Viridiplantae; Streptophyta; Magnoliopsida; Malpighiales; Euphorbiaceae
Source: RNAcentral